This 756-nucleotide ribosomal RNA is filed under the name uncultured bacterium. Its description in RNAcentral is "bacterial SSU rRNA". It matches the Rfam family "Bacterial small subunit ribosomal RNA", at positions 8 to 796 of the family's 1533-position model. The record is from RNAcentral.
AGAGUUUGAUCAUGGCUCAGAAUCAACGCUGGCGGCGUGCCUAACACAUGCAAGUCGCACGAGAAAGGGUAGCAAUACCUGAGUAAAGUGGCGCACGGGUGAGUAACACGUGACUAAUCUACCCUCGAGUGGGGAAUAACCUAGAGAAAUCUGGGCUAAUACCGCAUAACACUUACGAGUCAAAGCAGCAAUGCGCUUGGGGAGGAGGUCGCGGCCGAUUAGCUAGUUGGCGGGGUAAUGGCCCACCAAGGCGAUGAUCGGUAUCCGGCCUGAGAGGGCGCACGGACACACUGGAACUGAAACACGGUCCAGACUCCUACGGGAGGCAGCAGUGGGGAAUUUUGCGCAAUGGGGGAAACCCUGACGCAGCAACGCCGCGUGGAGGAUGAAAUAUCUUGGUAUGUAAACUCCUUUCGAUGGGGAAGAUUAUGACGGUACCCAUAGAAGAAGCCCCGGCUAACUUCGUGCCAGCAGCCGCGGUAAUACGAGGGGGGCAAGCGUUGUUCGGAUUUAUAGGGCGUAAAGGGUGCGUAGGCGGUUUGAUAAGUCUGAUGUGAAAUCUAUGGGCUCAACCCAUAGUCUGCAUUAGAAACUGUCGGGCUUGAGUAUGGGAGAGGUGAGUGGAAUUUCCGGUGUAGCGGUGAAAUGCGUAGAUAUCGGAAGGAACACCUGUGGCGAAAGCGGCUCACUGGACCAUAACUGACGCUGAUGCACGAAAGCUAGGGGAGCAAACAGGAUUAGAUACCCUAGUAGUCC